This 547-nucleotide unclassified non-coding RNA is filed under the name Plectosphaerella cucumerina. Its description in RNAcentral is "sequence contains 18S rRNA gene, ITS1, 5.8S rRNA gene, ITS2". The stretch from base 181 to 334 matches the Rfam family "5.8S ribosomal RNA". The record is from RNAcentral. Lineage: Eukaryota; Fungi; Ascomycota; Sordariomycetes; Glomerellales; Plectosphaerellaceae.
GUAACAAGGUCUCCGUUGGUGAACCAGCGGAGGGAUCAUUACUGAGUACUACACUCUCUACCCUUUGUGAACUAUUAUACCUGUUGCUUCGGCGGCGCCCGCGAGGGUGCCCGCCGGUCUCAUCAGAAUCUCUGUUUUCGAACCCGACGAUACUUCUGAGUGUUCUUAGCGAACUGUCAAAACUUUUAACAACGGAUCUCUUGGCUCCAGCAUCGAUGAAGAACGCAGCGAAACGCGAUAUGUAAUGUGAAUUGCAGAAUUCAGUGAAUCAUCGAAUCUUUGAACGCACAUGGCGCCUUCCAGUAUCCUGGGAGGCAUGCCUGUCCGAGCGUCGUUUCAACCCUCGAGCCCCCGUGGCCCGGCGUUGGGGAUCUGCCACGGCAGGCCCCUAAAACCAGUGGCGGACCCGAAGGCCCUCUCCUUUGCGCAGUAGCAUCAGCCUCGCAUUGGGAUCCCUCGGCGUCCUGCCUCUAAACCCCCCACAAGUCCGCUCCGGCGGCACCAAGGUUGACCUCGGAUCAGGUAGGAAUACCCGCUGAACUUAAGC